CAGCCGCCACGGUAAUACGUAGGGUGCGAGCGUUAAUCGGAAUUACUGGGCGUAAAGCGUGCGCAGGCGGUUUUGUAAGACAGAGGUGAAAUCCCCGGGCUCAACCUGGGAACUGCCUUUGUGACUGCAAGGCUAGAGUACGGCAGAGGGGGAUGGAAUUCCGCGUGUAGCAGUGAAAUGCGUAGAUAUGCGGAGGAACACCGAUGGCGAAGGCAAUCCCCUGGGCCUGUACUGACGCUCAUGCACGAAAGCGUGGGGAGCAAACAGGAUUAGAUACCCCAGUAGUCCCUGUCUCUUAUAC
RNAcentral lists this ribosomal RNA (301 nucleotides) under uncultured bacterium. RNAcentral describes it as "partial 16S ribosomal RNA". It matches the Rfam family "Bacterial small subunit ribosomal RNA", at positions 509 to 807 of the family's 1533-position model. The record is from RNAcentral.